CAAGGCCUUGCGCUCUUUGAGCGGCCGAUGUCAGAUUAGCUAGUUGGUGAGGUAAAGGCUUACCAAGGCGACGAUCUGUAGCGGGUCUGAGAGGAUGAUCCGCCACACUGGAACUGAGACACGGUCCAGACUCCUACGGGAGGCAGCAGUGGGGAAUUUUGGACAAUGGGGGCAACCCUGAUCCAGCCAUGCCGCGUGAGUGAAGAAGGCCUUCGGGUUGUAAAGCUCUUUCGGCCGGGAAGAAAUCGCAUGGGCCAAUACCCUGUGUGGAUGACGGUACCGGAAUAAGAAGCACCGGCUAACUACGUGCCAGCAGCCGCGGUAAUACGUAGGGUGCGUGCGUUAAUCGGAAUUACUGGGCGUAAAGCGUGCGCAGGCGGUUUUGUAAGACAGGCGUGAAAUCCCCGGGCUUAACCUGGGAACUGCGUUUGUGACUGCAAGGCUAGAGUACGGCAGAGGGGGGUGGAAUUCCACGUGUAGCAGUGAAAUGCGUAGAGAUGUGGAGGAACACCAAUGGCGAAGGCAGCCCCCUGGGCCGAUACUGACGCUCAUGCACGAAAGCGUGGGUAGCAAACAGGAUUAGAUACCCUGGUAGUCCACGCCCUAAACUAUGUCAACUAGGUGUUGGGUGGGUAAAACCAUUUAGUACCGUAGCUAACGCGUGAAGUUGACCGCCUGGGGAGUACGGCCGCAAGGUUAAAACUCAAAGGAAUUGACGGGGACCCGCACAAGCGGUGGAUGAUGUGGAUUAAUUCGAUGCAACGCGAAAAACCUUACCUACCCUUGACAUGCCAGGAACUUGCCAGAGAUGGCUUGGUGCCCGAAAGGGAGCCUGGACACAGGUGCUGCAUGGCUGUCGUCAGCUCGUGUCGUGAGAUGUUGGGUUAAGUCCCGCAACGAGCGCAACCCUUGUCGUUAAUUGCCAUCAUUUAGUUGGGCACUUUAACGAGACUGCCGGUGACAAACCGGAGGAAGGUGGGGAUGACGUCAAGUCCUCAUGGCCCUUAUGGGUAGGGCUUCACACGUCAUACAAUGGUCGGUACAAAGGGUUGCCAAGCCGCGAGGCGGAGCCAAUCCCAGAAAGCCGAUCGUAGUCCGGAUUGCAGGCUGCAACUCGCCUGCAUGAAGUCGGAAUCGCUAGUAAUCGUGGAUCAGCAUGUCACGGUGAAUACGUUCCCGGGUCUUGUACACACCGCCCGUCACACCAUGGGAGCGGGUUCCGCCAGAAGUAGGUAGCCUAACCGCAAGGGGGGCGCUUACCACGGCGGGGUUCGUGACUGGGGUGAAGUCGGAACAAGGUA
RNAcentral lists this ribosomal RNA (1301 nucleotides) under metagenome. Its description in RNAcentral is "bacterial SSU rRNA". It matches the Rfam family "Bacterial small subunit ribosomal RNA", at positions 202 to 1498 of the family's 1533-position model. The record is from RNAcentral.